GCUCGUUUUGGCACACAUAUACUAAAACUGGAAUGAUACCGAGAAGAUUAGCAUGACCCCUGCACAAGGAUGACAGGCAAAUUUGUGAAGCAUUCCAUAUUUAA
RNAcentral lists this small nuclear RNA (104 nucleotides) under Ursus thibetanus thibetanus. The record is from RNAcentral. Lineage: Eukaryota; Metazoa; Chordata; Mammalia; Carnivora; Ursidae.